AUCUUUAACCAUGACAAGUAUAUUAAGGAAUUUUACUAAAAUAAGAUGUAAUAUGUGAAGAAGUAAAGAAUUUCAAGAGAGAUACAGAUAAUAUUUUUUCUUUUUUCUUUUUUAAUUUAUUUUAUGUUUUUUGGCCACACCUGUGGCAUGCAGAACUUCCUAGGCCAGGGAAUCAAACCCUCACCACAGCAGCAACCCUUGUCACAACAGUGACAGCACCGGAUCCUUAACCUUCAGAGCCACCAGGGCACUUCCCAGAUAAUAUUUUUUAAUGAGAUGAAAAAUCCUAACACUGAAAAAUAUAUCUGAAAUUACUUGAUAGGAUUAUCAGUGAGUUGGACAAAAUAGUCAAAAGCAUCAUUAAACUUGAAAACAGGUUGCUAGAAAUCAUCCAAAUAAAAGUGCACUGAAAAAAAAAAUUAAAUAAACAAGUAUCAGUGACUGAUGAAGUAGUAUCAAGUGGUCUAACACAAAUGAAAUUGAGCUCCUAAAAAGCAAGGAGGGAGAGCCUGGGGCAGAAAAAUAUUUGAAAAAAUAUUAGCAAAAGCUUUCCAAAAUUGAUUAAUUACAUUUUAUCCAGGAUGUUUACUUGUUUUCAGUGAAAAGUAGAUUCCAAUAGCCUAGCAUGCCAUGAAUGGAGUUUAGAAGUUAGCAAAAAAGUAAAGUUUUACGUCUACGUGAAUGAGCAGCAAGGCAUUUUAAAGGUGAAUAAAAUAUGGAAAAAUACUUUGCUGGAUGGAACUAUCCUGAACAUUACUGUACUUUUAACAUAAAUGCUGCCUAUCCACUAAACCCCAUAGUACCACCCCAAUCAUUGUAAUACUACAGCAUCCUCCCAGGUUUUCAGAAUCUCUCUCAGUGCAUAGUAUAGCCCUCCAUCCAUCAAGAUUCCCUCUCUCACAUGAUCUGCCACUGCCUCCUUUCCCCAUGCCCCUUCUAACCUCCUUCUGAUGCUCAUGUCUCUCAAACCACACUGGCGUCUUUCCAUCUCAGGGCUUUGGGGAUGGCUUUUCUCACUUCCUAAAUGAUCCUCCCCUCAAAAUCCAUUUAACUGACUCUUCUCCUCCUCGGGUUUGUGUUCGAAUGUCAUUUUCUCAGUAAGACCUGAAAAUGAAACAAAAGAAAACAAAAAACUUGCACAUUCAUUCCCCAUCCCCAGUUUAUUUUUAUCUGUAGCCUCUAUUUGAGUUGCUGUGUAUUUUACUUACUUAAUUUUCUCACGAUCUCACUUUCUUCUCCACUAGAACAUAAGUUCCAGUGAGGAGGGAGGGGAAUUUACCAUUUUUUUCUCUGUAGUUUCUUUAAUACCCUAAAUGAGUAAAAAAUUGCAACUGCUAACAUUUUUCAUGGGGCUGGCAUGUGGGCAACCUUAAUUUAUUCCUAAUAACCCCUAAAUCUUUCAAGACAUUCCUUCAGUUUUUCAUGAAUAAGAGAGUCCCCAAAGUAUUCUACUAAUUUUUACAUUUGUAAGGUUAUGUUUGAGUGUCUUAGCAAAAAGGAUUAGAGCAGUAAAAGCUUCAGCUUUUUAACCAAGGAGAAUAAGAAAUGCGAUAUGGUUGUUUCCAAAGCAACAAAAAGCUUUACCUCAUUAAGUAGACUGAGGGCUCCUCCUUAUUAGAUUGAAAUAUCCAGUCAAAUAAGGAAGGCACCCUCACAAAGAAAAAACACUUAGAGCUGUCAUCACAAAGAAAUUUGCCUAUUCAGUUAUAAGCUAAUUUGUGACAACUUUUUUUCUUUAGGCGCUCAGGCGUCAGGAUGGAUGAUGAACUUUCCAAAAGGAAAAAGGUGGAAAAUCAUCGAAAGUACCAUAAACUCGCUCCCAGCUAAAUAAGUGUUUCCAUGUAGCAGGUGCAGAGUCAAGGGAAAUUAUAUUCCUGUACUCUUUAGCCUACCAACAAACAGCCUAUUAACCUCCUGUCAUAAUCUAGAUUAUUCUUGAAAGCAGAGCCUAAAACAGCAGUAGACACAUUCUAUGAGGAAAUAUGAUCCCGGGGAACAGGAAUGCGACAGAGGGGACCAAACGGAGAAAAGGGAAAGAAAAUCCAAGCAAAAUGAGGUGGUGUUAUUCAGUGGUCCAUGAGAGUUCAUGGCUACUUUGUGCAGCACCUCCCCAGGAUUCUUAUUAAACUUUGUCUCAGAGUUGUCUGCCUCAGGGACAGAAAGGAGAAGCAUUUAUCUCUCAGCAGCUAUCACCUGUGUUCUGAGGGCUACUCUCAUGGGGCUACUACCCCCCCACCCCCACCCCAGGAGAGACCCACUGGUGCCAUUGCAUCACAUGUGCUGCACCAGAGGACAUUUGGAACAGGAAGCUAGAUUCUUGAUGCAUGCCUGAGGUGAGGGUGAAACCUGCCCAGAGCUGUUCACCAGAGCUGUGGCUGGAAUCAGACUGGAAGAGAGUUCAAAAGAGGCAUCUUAGAAGCCUAGCAAAUGUGCUGUUAGCCCUGUCUAAAUCCGUAUUCUCCUUUCUUUCUAUCAUUAGAAUUUCAUUGUCCAGAACAACAUUGGCAGAAGGAUUAAAUAGAAAGAUUAAAUGUAUUUCCUAGAAGCUGUAUGUUAAUAAACGCUAAACCUUGAGUGACAUUUAGAAGAAAAAGUGACACUAAAACUUGGAAAAUUAAAAAAUGAUUCUGAAGAGAAUAAAGAUGAGUAACAUUAAAAAAAAAUUCUACUUGAAACAUUUUACCAUCAGAUAGCAAUAUUAGAUAUCUUCUAAACUCAUGUAAUCUCAGAAGUAAUCAAUGAAUUGUUCAGAGAAAUAAAAUUAACCAUUUCUUAUAUUUCUGUGAGCCUUAUAGAUCAGUAUCAUUAAUUUUUCCUAAAAUACUGUUUUCUACUGUCACGUAGCACUCGAGAUAACAGAGAUUACAGCUAAUGAAGGGAGAAUUGAUAGAUGUACAGGAAGGAAAAAUAGUGGGAUAAUUUCCAUAACAUAAAUAGCUGUUAUUAAUAUUGGUUGGAAUCAGGGAGGCAGAAGAACUACACAUGGUGACUUGUUUCCCCUUUGAAGUUUUAUUUUUACCAGAAAUAAUUUUCUCCCUGCCUGUACCCGUGAGACAUCAUAAUCAUCAUCUCGUAUUUGGUCUGGAAUUCCCACCUUUGAGUCAUUUAAUAUGGAUUGAGCUUCUACUAUUUCCUACAUAUUGGCACAGUGCAUAUAUGAAAGACAGGCUGUAAAACAUCUCCAAACAUUUCAGAAUACAUACUCUUAAAGUACAAUCAGAACAUUUACCAAAACUGACCAUGUGAUUGAUCACAAAUCAUCUGAACAAAUUUCAAAAGACUGAAACCCUAUAAGAAAAGUUUGCAAAAGACUAGCAAUCAGUGUUUCAAGAAGCUAGGAAGAUAGAUGUGUGAAGUAGCUUUUCAGACCUUGGACAACUGGCAGCAAAGGACCAAUCCCUGGCAGGUGAAACAGGGUGAUCCUCCCAUUGCCUCUGGAUCACACUGAAGGAGGAAGAGCUUGAGCAGAGCAGAGCAGUCUUGCUGAGUUGAGGAGACAAAGAUUAGUAUCAAGUGGGACAGAUGUCUUGAAUUUUCAGGGCAGAGUAUCAGCGAGAAAGAAGAUACGUAGAGGAAAAAAAUUCAGAAAUUUAAAUACAGAUCCCUCUCUGUCCAUUACUGAACACUAAACAAUUCCCCAAACUAUUUUAAUUUUCAUCCAGCCACAUUGAAGAGUCCUCAUGGCAAACUCCACACUUUCACUAGGAUCCCAGGAAGGUUACACCUCACUUAAGUAGGGCUAAACUAGCCUUGCAAUAAAAUCUACCAUGGACUUGCUCAAAAAAACAAGCCUCAGUAAUACAAAACUGAUCCUCAGGUUACUUAACUAUCUGCCAAAACCUAGUCCAAAUUUGUUAGUUCAGGUCCUCCAAGAAGCACAUGCAAAUAUGGGAUUAGAUUUACAAGAGAUUUUAUUGAGAAAGGUUGAAAUAGGAAGCCAAAGCAGCAGAGUCUUCAGACUACCUAGCCUGUCUGACCCCUCUGAAAGAGAGGGAGAAGGAAAGAGGGUUGAGUAGCAAAGAGUCUCAGAUGGCAACCCAAUUCCGGGAAAGUUUCAGGUCAGAACUUGCUGCUCAGAGGAGUCCCAUGUUUCACAGGAAUAGGCACGCAUUAGGAUACCUGCUCCAUGGUUGUUCCAGUGAAAACAGCCCAUGGGAAAGUAGCCUCAGCACAAAAAUAAUGGAUGCAGAGAACAGCAGGGGCCCUCAGUCAGUAUGCUCCUGUCUGCAGGAGAUCUGGGUGGUGUACUUUCAUGGCUACCAUGGUCCAUGCCUUGUGCUGCCCAGCUCUCCCCAGGGAGCAAGGCCUCCAUGGUUCCUGUGGGUCUCUCUUCCUGGGGGGAAGCUUAGAAGAUGAAGGUUAAUAUGAUGAACUACAUCCCCUCUCAGGUGAUCUCAGGGCUACAAGUGGUCCUUACCCUCUCCUUUCUCCACUAUCCAUUUUGGAUUCCCAUCACCUUAAUCACCUCAGCAGUUCUUAGUGGUUCACCUGAUCAUGUGAUAUAAACAUUAUCACAUCUAAGGGUCUGAACCCUUAGUAAUCAUUCCCUUCUGAGAUGCCCACAAGUGUCUGUUCACGAUUACAGUAGGGAAAGGGAGCAAUGGGAGAUACCAAGUGGCUCACCUGGGAUCCACACAUAUGCCUCCCCGUUCCACUUUGUGUAAGCAGCUGACCUCCUGCUCAUGAGGGUUGACGAUGCUGUGAAUAUGGUGAUUCCUCAUCUGCGUGCCCCUGGGCACAAGGAGCACAAAGUGCCCUAGUGGCAACCAUUUCUUUAGCUCAAUGGAAACAUUACUAUAGCCCAUGACAAGAAUAUACCUCUCUGGGAACCAAGACUCCAACUUACAGAGGGCAGAGCCACAGGGCAGGAAGCAUGCAUGUUUCCAAUAAGAAGUCAUUGGGAAUACUGUAAAUAAAGCCACUCCUUUUGCCAUUCCAUUUGACUCUCAUAAUCAUCCUAUUGGGGACACAACACCAUGAAGGUCUCUGGUUUAAUGAAUACACUGUAUCCUGAAGGAAGACAACCCAAUAUUUCAGAAUGUUGCCUAAAAACUCAUACUUUAGCUAUGACUUUAGAAGACUGUUUUACACUCUGCAAGGCUGACUACAUGUAUGAGACUGCAGGUGAUGUCUGCAGUAUGUGAUAGGACCAGGAAAUCCCAUGGUCAUGGGCCUACCCUUGUACCUUCAUCACCAUCAAGUGGUCUGAUACUAUGUAAGUGCUUUACAGUAGUCCUGCCUGAGGCUCUGCAGGUAGGAAAGGCAAACCUAUACCUGAACUAGGUUCUAUCCCUGUGAGGAUAAAUUACUAGCUCUUCUCAGAUGGGAGAGGCCUGUUAUAGUCAACUUGCCACCAGAUGACCAGUCUACUUGAGGAACAGUGCCAUGUUGAGGGGUCAGUAACAGUCUCUGUGGCUGACAGAAUGGACCUUCAGAGGCCACAAUAGCUGGAUCAGCCUUGGUAAGUGACGGCCCAUGUGUUUAGCCCAUAUAUAAUUUCCAGCUCUGCCAAGGUAGCUAUUCCAUUCAUGUGCCUGUCAUAGGGUGUCUGAUAACAAAGCCUGACUAACUUCAACUAGACAAAGACAUUUUAUUUGUUUGGUGUUUAAGUUAUCCCUUCCAAAAUGGAUGCUUUCUUGUGGAUGUUAAUGUGUGAGACAAAAAUCUUCACAGUCUGUGUCCACUCCCAUAUGUCCAUCCACAUUCCUCUACACCAGACUUACUUGGCUCCAUUAUCCAGACCUUUUUUCCAUCCAAGCCCCUGAACAAGUCAAGUCAUUAGCCACUGGCCAGUAAACUACGUAUUCUCAUUUAGAACCAGUUCUCCUCUGCAUCAAGUAGAUGACCAGGUAUGCCACUCACAACUCUGCUUAUUAGAAAGGCUUGCGGAGUUCCCGUCGUGGCGCAGUGGUUAACGAAUCCGACUAGGAACCAUGAGGUUGCGGGUUCCAUCCCUGCCCUUGCUCAGCGGGUUAACGAUCCGGCGUCGCCGUGAGCUGUGGUGUAGGUUGCAGACGCGGCUCGGAUCCCGCGUUGCUGUGGCUCUGGCGUAGGCUGGUGGCUACAGCUCUGAUUCAGCCCGUAGCCUGGGAACCUCCAUAUGCCGUGGGAGCGGCCCAAGAAAUAGCAACAAC
This 6134-nucleotide long non-coding RNA is filed under the name Sus scrofa (pig). RNAcentral's name for it is "lncRNA (ENSSSCG00050026568.1)". The record is from RNAcentral. Lineage: Eukaryota; Metazoa; Chordata; Mammalia; Artiodactyla; Suidae.